ACAGCAAGAAUCUGUCAGAACUUUUUUCGAGGCUCAUCCAAUCGCGUUGAUUGAUUUCGGUCAACGCCCUUUAACGACGCAGCGAGCUCAGUCUUUUUCAGAUGGCGGGCCAGCGAUGACGAGACCCCUCGAAAGGUCACUUUUGUCUUUAAAUGAGACGUUCAGCUGUUGUUUGACUUUUAAAACAAUCAGCGAUUCCAGGAAGAAAUCAACAAGCACAAAGACGAGAGGCGAGAAGAGAAGCGCUGAAAAGAGGAAGAUGGGCUGAGGUCAGACCUCCAGCUCCCUCUAGUGGAGAAACCAGGAACAAAGACGCAGAGAUGGAAAAAAAAUAAAGGAAGAUACGACGAAAUAGAGGGAUCAAGAAAGACAUCAUGCCUCUUUUUUUUGUUUUUUUUUUCCUGAUUUGCCAUUUCUGGAGUUUCUCAAAUGCAGUAAAGGUGAGAGUUUGUAGCUUUUUUUUUGUUUUUAGUGACCUUUACUGCCCCAACAUGCUGAUUCAAUAUAUUUCAUUCAUUCACUCUUGGAUGCAACAGCUGCAUUUGUAUCCAAACGCAGUAAAGGAUCAUAUAUGUUCAACACAGCAGUAAAGUUCUUGUAUCAUCAGAUUAUUGUUCCUCUAAAUCUAUAGAAGCAAAUAUUGUGUUUUCUGGUGAUUCAAGUUCCUGUUUUGUUUAGGAUAUCAAAGAAAUGAUAAUCAGAAAAACACAGUCUUUGUACUUUUAACGGUUUUCUACUUCAGAAUAAAA
Molecule: long non-coding RNA, 749 nt
Organism: Thunnus maccoyii (southern bluefin tuna)
Lineage: Eukaryota; Metazoa; Chordata; Actinopteri; Scombriformes; Scombridae
Exons: 3
Source: RefSeq, a predicted model, not a curated record